Molecule: ribosomal RNA, 441 nt
Filed under: uncultured bacterium
Lineage: Bacteria
Description: partial 16S ribosomal RNA
Rfam family: Bacterial small subunit ribosomal RNA
Source: RNAcentral
CCUACGGGUGGCUGCAGUGGGGGAUAUUGCACAAUGGGGGGAACCCUGAUGCAGCGACGCCGCGUGGGUGAAGGAGCGUUUCGGCGCGUAAAGCCCUAUCGGCAGGGAAGAAGGAGGACGGUACCUGACUAAGAAGCCCCGGCUAACUACGUGCCAGCAGCCGCGGUAAUACGGAAGGUCCGGGCGUUAUCCGGAUUUAUUGGGUUUAAAGGGAGCGUAGGCCGGUCUUUAAGCGUGCCGUGAAAUUUUGUGGCUCAACCAUGAGAGUGCGGCGCGAACUGGAGACCUUGAGUGCGCGGAAGGCAGGCGGAAUUCGUGGUGUAGCGGUGAAAUGCUUAGAUAUCACGAAGAACCCCGAUUGCGAAGGCAGCCUGCCGCAGCGUUACUGACGCUGAAGCUCGAAAGCGCGGGUAUCGAACAGGAUUAGAUACCCCAGUAGUC